This 475-nucleotide ribosomal RNA is filed under the name uncultured bacterium. RNAcentral's name for it is "bacterial SSU rRNA". It matches the Rfam family "Bacterial small subunit ribosomal RNA", at positions 28 to 497 of the family's 1533-position model. The record is from RNAcentral.
GAUGAACGCUAGCGGCAGGCUUAAUACAUGCAAGUCGAGGGGUAACAUGGGGUAGCAAUACUCUGAUGACGACCGGCAAACGGGUGCGGAACACGUACGCAACUUUCCCAAAACUGGUGAAUAGCCCUCCGAAAGGAGGAUUAAUACGACCGUAACAUAUAGAGGUGGCAUCGCCUUUAUAUUAUAGCUCCGGCGGUUUUGGAUGGGCGUGCGCCUGAUUAGGUAGUUGGUGUGGUAACGGCUCACCAAGCCUACGAUCAGUAACUGGUGUGAGAGCACGACCAGUCACACGGGCACUGAGACACGGGCCCGACUCCUACGGGAGGCAGCAGUAAGGAAUAUUGGUCAAUGCCCGCAAGGGUGAACCAGCCAUUCCGCGUGAAGGAUGAAGGCCCUCUGGGUUGUAAACUUCUUUUAUAGGGGACGAAAAAGGGAAUUCCUUCCCACUUGACGGUACCCUAGGAUAAGCACCGGC